RNAcentral lists this long non-coding RNA (3502 nucleotides) under Olea europaea subsp. europaea. The record is from RNAcentral. Lineage: Eukaryota; Viridiplantae; Streptophyta; Magnoliopsida; Lamiales; Oleaceae.
AUGAUGAAGAUAUUUUGCAAACCUUAUCCACCGAGGAAAACAUUGUGGUAAGAUUUGUUCUAUAAAAUUGAUUCCGUUUAAUUAAUAAGUUAUUAUUUUGGGACACUAAAACUGUUUUUCUCCUAUGAAGUGUAAUACUCCUAUUGCUCGUCGUCUGUUAUGUUUUCUCCUAUAUAGGUCUAAUUAUUCCUAAAUUCUUUAAUGUUUUCUCUUUCUGGUGUUUAAUAUGUUAAAAAUUUCUGAUAUGGCAAACAUAAUGGUAUACAUCAUCUGUCUGCAGCUUGAAAAAAGUAAAAUUUUUUUAUCUUUUCUUCACUACAUGCAUUAUCCAACUUUAAAUGAUUGUUUUGAAGCCAUACUUGAUUUUAAAAAAUGCAGCAAGUUAUUAUUGGACUGGAUACUGCAGAGAUGAUUAGUGAGGUUGAGUUGCUAGGUCAUUCAGAAAUUGAUUUUGGCAUUGAUGAGUUAGAUGAUGAAGAUAGUGAUUUCCAUGAUGAAGAGGACGAUGACACUGAAAACGAUAACUAUGGAAAGGUGGUAACUUUUCCUUCAAUUCCCCCUUCAAGUUUCAGAUUGUAGUUUUCUGCAGUAUGUGGACAUUGAUAUUGUUCAUCUGCAGGACUGGGUUGGUGUUCUUGAUGAUGAAGAAGAAGAUCUGGAUGAGGACUCUGAUGGAUCCAUAGGGGACUGGGCUAAAUUGGAGACCAUGCGGUCUUCUCAUCCAAUGCAUUUUGCCAAAAAGCUAGUUGAGGUGACUCUCCUAAUCAAAUUUGCUACAUAGUGUAGUAUUAGAAAAGUAGAUCGAAAAAAGUGGAACAUGGAAUACCAUUCUACUAAAUUGACUUUCCGACUAAAAUUACUAUAAUAUUUUUGCCUUUAUUUUGUCAUCGUCAUAUUCCCUUCUCUAAUUUAAAAUGAAUCAAGUUAAUACACCAUCAUAUAUCCAUUUUUGUGAAUCUAUUUUUGUUACAGGUUGUGUCUGAUAAUCCAGAUGAAUAUAUGGAGCAGCCUUCUGCUGGUCUUGCCAUACAAGGCCUCCUAAGACCUGCAUUUAUUGAAGAACACUCUGUCAUCCAGAACCAUAAAUCUAGUGGUGCUGAUACUAAUUACAUUUCUGAAGAACAAAUUCAAGAAGCCAUUUUUCAGAUCAAUGGUCACAAACCCGAAAAUGAAACUAUGCAAGGUAGCCCAAAUUUGGCAGGGGAAUUGGAGAAGGAUGAAAUGCUGGGAAAUGGAACUUUAUUUUACAAGCUAGAGAUGAUUAAAAUUCAGUUAGUUUCAUCACAUGGACAUCCGGUACUUUUGAUUUUUCUUUGAGAAUCUCAAGAUUGCAUGGUGCUCUCAUUUCUUCUGACCUUUACUUCUUCAUAUUUAAACUUUUUUGGUUCUCAUACUUGAGAAAGCUGCUGAAUCUACUCUAUUUUCUGCCUCUUUUGUAACUCUGCAUGUUCACAACUAUGUUUUGAUAGCAAUCCUAAAGUUGGCAGAAGUCAUCCAUGCCAUUUAGUGAAAUUUCUUUCAGCAUAUAUAUGUUCCAUGUACACAAUAUAGUUAUCUGUGGCGUGUUUAUUUCAUCUAAUAUUAGAAUGGAGAUGAAAAGUUUUGCUUGAUUCCUCUUCUUUUUCUUAAAAUACUCUGCUUUCAUGUCCUUGCAAUUGUUUACUAUCAGAAAUGAUACGUAGGGACCUGAAAAGGAGUUGUAGAGGAUAGAUGAGGAAAAGAAGAUGAAGGAAAUUAUGCUAUCAAUUUUCCCAUUACCCCAUGUUGAAUGAAAAACGUUUAUUUCUCUUUCUGAAAGCAGUGGGCUUUAAAUGGCAAACAACGAUUGGGAUGAGAAUAUCCCCCAAAUAGUAGGGGGCAGCCUUCCGUUUGAUACUAAUAGAUAUAUCUUUUGUACUCAAGGUCCAUCUCAAAUAUCGUAAAUAUCAACACCUCAAAUGAUGAACCUUCUUAUCAUUAGGGCAUGUUCUUAACUUGAACCAACUGUUUGACUUGAGAAAUAACUUGACUCUGUGUUUGCAAGUAUGCUGCUGCAAUGACUUGGCUGUACAAAUUUGACAUCCCAGACUUUGUGUCAGAUGUAUUUGAACAAAUAUAGAUUGUAAUGUACUUGACAGUUGCCUUUCUAUGCUACGUAUACUGAUGCGAUUAAAUUUCAAAUAGUAUUACGCAUUGAAUGCACCACUUUGAGGUGGUCUAUCCUUUUGCUAUUAGGAUGGGAAAGCAUAAAUUACUUUUUUUGUUCUGUUUGUGCUUUCUACAGAAUUUUGUUGAUAUAGAAGAUUUUAUGAAAGCUCAACCUGAUGCAAUAGUACAUUCAGCUGCAAAAAUUAUAUCUCGUGUCAAAUCUGGUGGAGAAAAGACUACACAAGCUCUCAAAUCUCUGUGCUGGAGAUGCAAGGGUAUUCAAGUGGAGGUGACACAAUGGAGUUAUAUUAAUCUGUAAUUGUAUCAUGCCUGUUAACUUGAAGUAAACUUUGCAUUGUUUGUAACUUGGAAAAUUGACAUGAAAAUAAGAUUAUAAUUUCACCCAUUCUUUGGUGACAUUUACAGCAUGAAGAAAGUGAGAGGAAUCAAUAUCUACUUCUCCUCACCCAUCUCUUCAUGAACAAGGCCUUUUAAACUUAUUCCCUCCUGGAAACUUAGUACUUACUUUUGCGAGAUUAAUUUGUUAAGAAUUUAAAUUGUGUAUGAAAAGUUACGUUCAUAAUAUUGGACCCUCAUCCAGUUGACGUUCUAUAUACUCUCUUGCAAUAUAUUGUCUUGGAAUACAAGAGAAGGCCAUCUAACAUAUUAAGAGAGAGUCAGAAAAGUUAUUUUUCUGCAAGCAAGUUCUUUUGCUAAUUUUAUAUAUUGAAUUUGUGACAGGAGGUGGCUCUUAUAGGUGUAGACAGCCUUGGUUUUGACUUAAGAAUUUGCUGUGGAACACAAGUACAAACAUUGCGUUUUGCAUUUAAGAAGAGGGUAUAUACUUUUUGUUCUUUACUUUUAUAUUCCAUCAAUUUCAUAUGCUCGUACUCAUCUUGGACCCAUGUGUUUGCAAUGAAAGAACAAUCUCUCUUAUCGUGAUGCAUGGCCUGGACUAUAUACAAAAUAGUGAAAAUUACCUUUUUAUAUAUCUCUCUCCUCUCCCUCUUUAACAAGUUGAUUUCCAGGCCUCUUCGGAGUAUAGCGCUGAAAGACAGUUGAAUGAUCUACUGUUUCCAAGAGUCCACAAGUUUCAACAAAAGAAAGAAUCUCAACAGACUGAAUCAUAACAUAUAGGUAUUCAAGUUCAUUUCUGUUUGUUCACCUCGUGUGCAUGUUUUAAAAGUUGUAUGCGAACAGCACAAGGGGAAUUCUUUUCUUGUUACCAGUUUCCUUGUAUCUUAACUGCUAGGUGAUUACUUUUAUUCUCUCUAUUUUAUCCCGGCCUCAACUGUAUAAGCUGAAUUUUGGUUUUGAUUGUGCUAUUCUAAAGGCAUCCACUGUUUACGCUGCUUAUGUACUUCUUGAGACUGAU